UCUAUCUUUUUUUUUUUUUUUUGGGUUUAAUUACUCCGUAUUAUUUUUGCUCUAAACUUUUUCCCAUUCAAUUUAGGCAGAAAAUAUAUAGUAGUAUAAUAUAAUUAAUUAAUAAUAUUAGUACGUGUAUGUAUAUAGAGGCAUUGGAAGAAUCAAAGAAUGUUUCUGAUCUCUGGAGCAGAGGAAGAAGAAGAACGGAUUCCCCUCACAUGCUCCACCAUCUGUUUUUUGCGUUAUUUUACGAUAUUCAUAAUAACGGCCUUUGAAAGUCGCGGCGAUUGCUUUGCAGCGCGGCCUCCUCCUCCUCCGGGAUCGCGUCUUCUCCAGGUUUCAUUAACAGAAUUCGCUCCAGUAGCAUGUUAUUUGUCCCCAAGAAUUUAUUGAGAAGGGAAAAGCUAAUCAUAGAUUGGCUUCACAAUGGUUGAACUUUGCAUUUCAUUUUUAAGGAUACUGACCAGCUCCACUUCUUAUAGUACUUGUCUAUUUGGAUGGCUGGUUACAGUAGCAUGUGGACUUUAUGCUGUUGUAUAUGGAUUCCUUAAAUGGAAGCGGAAGGCAUCUCUCAAUUGGGUUAAAGCUGCUGCUAGAGCAAAGAAGCAAGCCUGGAAAAAGUUGAAGGUUCCCUUGUCAGAACAUACAUGGGUUGAAGAUUUUGCUAAUAAUGGUAGACAGCCAUCCACAUGUAGUGUUUGCCUUACUUCCCUUGUGCCCCCAAAAAAUUUAGGCACAAAAGCCUCAUCAUGUACAUUAGUACAUCGCUGCUCUGUUUGUGGUAUUGCAACACAUUUUAACUGUUCUAAGUUUGCAUCAAAGGAUUGCAAAUGUGUAGCACAAGCUGGGUUUAGCCAUGUGCAACACCAUUGGUCAGAAAGGUGGAUUAAGUUGGAUGUGAGCCCUGAGAUGUCUGCCUUCUGUUUUUAUUGUGAUGAACCUUGUGGUAUUCCAUUCCUUGAUGUAUCUCCUACUUGGCAUUGCUUAUGGUGUCAACAGCUUAUACAUGUUAAAUGUCAUGCUAAAAUGUCUGAAGAGUCUGGUGAUGUUUGUAAUAUGGGUCCUCUCAGGAGGCUAAUUCUUUCUCCACUCCAUGUCAAAGACAUCGAAACUGAAACAAAUGAUUGUGGGGCAUUGAGGCAAAUGUCAGACAAAAUGGUUUCCUCUUCUGUUCAUGGCCAAAUGAGAAGAAAACGCCAUCGGAACAAACAUGGUAGUAACCAUAUGCUCAAUGGUACACAACAAGACCCUUCAUCUCCUAAAAGAGCACUUGAAUUCUUGCUUAGUGGUCUUGCUCUUCUGAAGAAUUCCAGCGGUGAGAAAAAAGACAGCCCUCUCAUUAGUAAUAAUGAACUUUCUGAUAAGAAUGGUAUUCAAAAUGGAUUGAUCAGAAAGAAGUGUGAAAAUAUUUUCCCUGGCCAAUCAAAGAAGUAUGCUCUUGUAGACUUACCUCAGGAUGCAAGACCUCUUUUAGUCUUCAUUAACAAGAAAAGUGGAGCUCAAAAUGGUCCUUCCCUUAGGAGAAGGUUGAAUAUGUUAUUGAAUCCUUUGCAGAUUUUUGAACUCAGCUCCACCCAGGGUCCUGAAGCUGGUUUAGAUAUGUUCAGUAAUUUGCAGUAUUUUCGGGUUUUGGUUUGUGGUGGGGAUGGAACUGUUGCCUGGGUCCUUGAUGCAAUUGAGAGGUAUAAGUUUGAGUCACCUCCACCAGUUGCAGUCCUCCCUUUAGGGACUGGAAAUGAUUUGUCUAGGGUACUCCAAUGGGGAGGUGGUUUCUCAAUGGUUGAAGGGCAAGGUGGAGUUGGUGCAUAUCUGCAUGAUUUGAACAAUGCAGCAGUUACAAUGCUAGAUCGCUGGAGAGUUGAUAUAACACAUGAGAAAUCAGCUCUUGAUACCAAACAAGUUAAGCCAAAGUUCAUGAUGAACUACUUGGGUAUUGGUUGUGAUGCAAAGGUUGCUUAUAAAUUUCACUUGAACAGGGAAGAAAACCCUAUGAAAUUUUGCAGCCGGUUUGUGAAUAAAUUACGAUAUGCAAAAGAAGGUGCCAAGGAUAUAGUGGACAGAACCUGUGCAGAUUUGCCAUGGCAAGUAUGGCUUGAAGUAGAUGGGAAGGACAUACAUAUUCCAAAGGAUGCCGAGGGCUUGAUUGUACUCAAUAUUGGUAGCUAUAUGGGUGGAGUUGAUCUCUGGCAAAAUGAUUUAGAGCAUGAUGAUGACUUUGAGCAUCAAUCUAUGCAUGAUAAAAUGCUUGAAGUUGUUUGUGUUUCUGGAGCAUGGCACCUUGGCAAACUUCAAGUUUGUAGUUUCCUCCGUGCUUCCUCUUUAACUUGUUGGGCUUUCCCAAGCAAGGAGACUGGCCCAAGGUGGAACAAUAAGGAUACACAUCUCCAGUCCUUUCCCAGUACAAAUUGAUGGGGAACCAUUUAUACAGCAACCAGGAUGCUUAGAGAUCACACACCACAAACAGGUGUUUAUGUUGAGGAGGACAUCAGGGUUGGAUGGGCGAAGAGGACAUGCAGCAGCUAUCAUGACAGAGGUUUUGGUGGAUGCCGAAUGUAAAGGUGUGAUCAGUGCAACUCAAAAGAACAUGCUUCUUCAGCAGAUAGCUCUUCAACUUUCUUGAUUCAUAAUUGCAGCCAUUGAUCCUAUAUCUGCAAAAUUGGAUUAGAACAUUUUUCCCUCUACCAAUGAAUUUUGACAUAGGAUUUGUAUACUAGGAGCUAAUACAUUACAAAGGCACUGCUGCCUAGAGAUGUUAGAUUUCCCGGAGAGACUUGAUAUUAAAAAGGUCCAGGUCUUAUACAUGUUUUAUUACACUUGUAUAUGCUACAGUACGAAUCUCGUUGCUAGGGAACGCAAAUGGAAAAAAAAAAAUACGAGCUUUUUUAUUAGAAAGUUGACAGAUAAAACUAGUUGGAUAUUGACCAACAUUUGGCA
Molecule: RNA transcript, 2925 nt
Organism: Ipomoea nil (Japanese morning glory)
Lineage: Eukaryota; Viridiplantae; Streptophyta; Magnoliopsida; Solanales; Convolvulaceae
Gene name: diacylglycerol kinase 2
Exons: 8
Source: RefSeq, a predicted model, not a curated record